CUUCUGGCAAUUUUGUUUGUUUUCUUAGCAUCUUCAGUAUCAAGUGCCCGCUCCGAGGUGACCCUGAUUGACUCCGGUGGGGAUGUGAUGGAGCCCGGGGGGUCCCUCCGGUUGAGCUGCAAGGUGUCCGGGUUUAAUUACGGUCUUUACGCAAUGGCGUGGAUGCGGCAGCCACCGGGUCAGACAUUUGAGUACAUCGCGUACAUCAACUCUAACGGACAAAGUUUAUUCUAUAUCCCAUCCGUGAGGGGCCGGUUCACCGUGUCCAGGGACAAUUCCAAUUACAUGCUGUACCUGGAUAUGAACUGUCUGAAGGCUGAAGACACAGCCCGGUACUACUGUGCGAGGUGGUACUAUACGACUCAAGUUGGUUUUGAAUACUGGAGUCAAGGGACCAUGGUUACUGUGACCUCAGCUUCAAAGGCAUUCCCAGCAGUUUUCCCAGUGUCAUCAUGUGGUGAAAUAGACCCAGAAGGCUAUGUAACAUUUGGCAUUUUAGCAAGAGACAUCCUUCCAAGAAACAUAACAUUUUCUUGGAGAACUGAGCCAUCUAUAAAUCCUUCAGAUUCUGUACAGAAGACCUAUCCAUUUGUAUGGCACAGCAGGGGUACAUACACAAGAAGCAGUGAGCUCAGGGUAUCAUCUGCAUCAUGUGGGAAGAACAUGAAAGUUAUCUGUGAAGUUAAGCACUCAGAAGGUUCAAAGGAGUUCCAUGUCACCUGCCCAGAUACCUCAGUGUUCCCUCCAAAAGUGUUCGUUCUUCCUCCAGUGGCUGAAGAAUUUAUUUCUGACUAUGGUGGGUCACCUUCUGCUACCCUCGUGUGCCUCAUUGAAUGCUUUAGACCAAGAAACGUGAAGGUCACAUGGUACAAAAACAAUGUGGCGGUACAAUCAGGAGUGUUAACUCGUCCUCCCGUUGAAGAUGAAGGCAAAAACUUCACUACCAGCAGUCAGAUGACAGUGACUCUGGAAGAGUGGAAGAAAGAUGUCAUUUUUACAUGCCAGGCCUCACACCUCAAAUGGACAGUUACAAAAAAUAUUAGUCGAUCAGUGGCACAAUGCGAUCAUGAAUCUGUGAAGAUUUAUGCUAACCCUCCAUCCAUUGAAGAUGUUUUGUUGGGUCCUUCUGCAAAACUGUCAUGCUUGGUGUCUGGAUUAGCUUUUCCAGACAGCUGCAAUAUUUCCUGGGCUAGAAGUACUACAUCUGCUGAAUUAAAAUAUGAAACGGAGGCUGCUGUCGCUAAUUCAAAUAGCACAUUCAGUGUCACCAGUCGCUUGUCUGUGUGUCCUGCUGACUGGAAAUCUGGAGAACAGUUUACAUGUAUUGUGGAACAUAUCUCUUUUCCAAGUCCAAAACGUAUCAUAAUCCAGAAAGAUAAAGGAGGGUCAUUCAAGAAACCCCAGAUUUUCCUUCUCCCACCUUCAUCAGAAGAUAUUGCAACUGGUGUGACUGCAACACUCACCUGCCUAGUGAAAGAUUUUUACCCCAAAGAUAUCUUUAUCAAGUGGCACCACAACGGAGAGUCGGUCUCAGUUCAUGAAUACAGUCACACCACAGAGAUAAAAGAAGAUGGAAACCAGUCAUUCUCCGUGUAUAGCAAGUUCGACAUUAAGAUCGAUGACUGGAACCAUGGUCAUUCCUACUCCUGCAUUGUCGGUCAUGAGUCUCUAGACAUGAAUAUCUCAAGCAAAUCCAUUGAUAAGUCAACGGACCACACAAUGUUUGCUGUUGAGAAUGCAUCAGAAGACGAAAAUGAAAAUCAUUGGAGAACGGCUUCCACCUUCAUCUUCCUUUUUCUCCUCAGCCUUCUCUACAGUAUUGGAAUCACUGGUUUAAGAUUAAAUAAAUUCAGAACAACACAAUAAUGCCUUUUUAACAGAAUUAUGUAAGGACUCUUCACGAGUAACUUGACUGGACUGGUGGCUGACAUUUUUAAUUUGAAGGCAUCAUUUC
Non-coding RNA from Protopterus annectens (West African lungfish), 1954 nucleotides. NCBI's taxonomy places the organism in Eukaryota, Metazoa, Chordata, Ceratodontiformes, Protopteridae. The record is from the annotation of a RefSeq genome assembly.